AUUGAACGCUGGCGGCAUGCCUUACACAUGCAAGUCGAACGGUAACGGGCCUUCGGGUGCCGACGAGUGGCGAACGGGUGAGUAAUACAUCGGAACGUGCACGAUCGUGGGGGAUAACGAGGCGAAAGCUUUGCUAAUACCGCAUACGAUCUACGGAUGAAAGCAGGGGACCGCAAGGCCUUGCGCGGACGGAGCGGCCGAUGGCAGAUUAGGUAGUUGGUGGGAUAAAAGCUUACCAAGCCGACGAUCUGUAGCUGGUCUGAGAGGAUGAUCAGCCACACUGGGACUGAGACACGGCCCAGACUCCUACGGGAGGCAGCAGUGGGGAAUUUUGGACAAUGGGCGCAAGCCUGAUCCAGCCAUGCCGCGUGCAGGAUGAAGGCCUUCGGGUUGUAAACUGCUUUUGUACGGAACGAAAAGCCUUCUUUUAAUACAGGAGGGUCAUGACGGUACCGUAAGAAUAAGCACCGGAUAACUACGUG
RNAcentral lists this ribosomal RNA (482 nucleotides) under uncultured bacterium. RNAcentral's name for it is "partial 16S ribosomal RNA". It matches the Rfam family "Bacterial small subunit ribosomal RNA", at positions 30 to 507 of the family's 1533-position model. The record is from RNAcentral.